AUGGAAAUCAGGCCUUCAUUAUCCCGGACGUGUUUGCUGAAGGUCAUUGAGGAUGGGAACCUUCCUUUUGAAGUCGUGUUCAAAUUGACUGAGCAGAUCAAUACUAUAAAGAAUAGGAUCAUUGACACUGCCAUUCAGAUGACUGCGCUUCAUCGCUUUCUGGUUUUAAAACUUUUGAAGAAUCUCUCUCUGCUGCUGAAAUCCCGUUGGCAGAAGAGUCCAUCGCUGCAGAGGGAAGCAGUUUCAGUGAUUGGGUUUCUCAUGACAGAUUAUUUUAGUCAUUUUUAUUAAGCGUCCAGCUCGGGUCCCCUGAGUGUUGGGGGUCCGAGGCAGAGGCUUACCUUUGCAGAAAGUCCAGCCCUGGUCCAUGUAUGUUAGAGUAAGACAGCUGAAAAAACAAUACUCACCUUUUAACAUAUUAAUGUUUUUUUUUAAAAUACAGUAAUGUGUAUUUUUAUACAUAACUGCAGUUGUUCUACUGAGUCAGAAACAAGUUGUUCCGGCUCAGGUUAGCCUUUGCUGAGUCUGUAGGAUCUGACUGUUUCCUAUCAUCAUCUGUCAUUUGUCUGUCAUCUGGGAACUUUAAGAGAAGAAAGAUCUGGCAGUGACCUGCUAAGUUGAUGGAGAAUGAUUCCGUCAGUCAAAUCCUCGGACAUGUCACCAUUUUCUGAUGUUGCUCUGAGGGCAUAACAACUGAACCUGUCACAAAAUGUUGAGAGCGGCCUUUAAAUAUGGCGUGCCGGGCAAUCAUUUAAGAGUGGAGGGCAUCAGUCAGCGUCAGAUCCACCAAAGUGCAGACUUCUGAAGGUUGGUAGAUGCCAGCAGGCCCUUCUGUUCAUGCUCUCCUAUUGACAGCAUCUGUAACGACCAAAUGCUGGACUGUGAAUGCACCGGUAAGAGUCAGUGAUUUUAGGUCCAUAGUAUUACUAUAACACAAACACUAAAGCAUUCACACAUUCUGACGUUUUUUUCAACCUCUGGGCCUUUUGGUUGAUGAGGUUGCGGUUUCCUAGUUCUCUCCUGGAUGAAGGUUAGGAGGAAACAUCUGCAGCCCUUCAAAAUAAGGGUCAUGAAGAACCAACCUCCAAACAGAAAGGAAAGAAAAACUACUUAUUUACAUUAUUGUUGCUCCUAUAUUCUAAUUUUAACUCAGUUUUCCUUGCGGCUUGUCACGGUUAAGCGUAUAGUACAGUUGCAGGUAUCACACUGGACUCUAGUGGCAUUCCAG
Molecule: long non-coding RNA, 1228 nt
Filed under: Oryzias sinensis (Chinese medaka)
Lineage: Eukaryota; Metazoa; Chordata; Actinopteri; Beloniformes; Adrianichthyidae
Description: lncRNA (ENSOSIG00000019915.1)
Source: RNAcentral